Molecule: long non-coding RNA, 2550 nt
Organism: Aethalodelphis obliquidens (Pacific white-sided dolphin)
Lineage: Eukaryota; Metazoa; Chordata; Mammalia; Artiodactyla; Delphinidae
Exons: 2
Source: RefSeq, a predicted model, not a curated record
AGAGGAGGAUGUUCCUGGGACUUCGGGACCAGCUGUCUGAAGACUACCCGAGAGAUGGGCCACAGCCCGCUCCCACCCUUUUAACUGGACCAGACCCGGCACUGAAGAGGGAAGUAGAUGUGGACCGGGGGUGACUCACAUCUGGAGCAAACCUGCCCUGCCCUGCAUUGCCUCCCCAGACCCCACCUUCCUCCAGAUGACUGAAACCCACGCUGGCACAGGAGGAGAGAGGCUGCCCGGGGCUGAGAGGCAGGCCCAGAGAGGUUGGGUCGCACCCCUUGCGAGCCCCUCAUCCCUCCUCCUAGAGCAAGCCAGCUGCCACGGAAACCAACAACAGAGCUUCACUUUUUCCUCCAGGGCCUCCCCCAAACCUCAGCAUUAGGGCGGGGUGGGGGGGUGCCUAGCUCCACUGCCUUUCCUCUGUGCUUCCCCUCCGAGGCCCACAGACACUCUCUCUGCCUGGUCAAGGAAUGGGGGCAUUUCAGGAGGAGUCCAGGCAGUCAUUGCUGUGACUGCCAUCAGGUGGGACUGGCUGGCUGUUCCAACCCAGUAGUUGGGCUCUCAGGGCCUCAGGAGCUGCUCCUCCAUUCUUCCCCCAACCUGGAAGACGGGUCCAGCACCAGGAAGCGUUUGCUGUUGGAUGAGGGGCUGCUUUACUCCUCUCCGGCAUCUGGCCUGUCGAGAGAUGGAGUGGCAGGGUGACAGGGUGUAUAGGCUCCCGGAAAGGCCCCUUUGGGAGUCUGGAGACUUGGGUUCUGGUUCUAGCUCUGCCACGCCCUCCCCAGGGUAUCCUGGCAAGCUGCUUCUCCCUGCUUGCCUCAGUCUCCCCGUCUGUGAAUUGGGGAUGUGCAGCCCUGCUCUCCUGCAUAAGGUUAGUACAAGGUGGAGUUCAGGUCUGUUGUACUUAAUAGAUGAUUAUUUUUUUCAGAGAGUCUCAGAAGGUUUUAGCCUUCCUCUUGUCUCUUCUCCCAGGCUGAGUUCACCUUCCUGGGUCGGCAUUUCUGGGAGGCCUCCCCCUCACCACCACCCCCCAUCCCUUGGCAGUCUCCUCCUGCCUAGGCUGCGGUGGGGAGUCUCCCCAGAGUCCAGUGACCCCUAUAACAGGGGCCGCAGUUUUCCUGAGGCAGGGACCAGGGACAAGGUGCAUUGUGUGCCCCCCGCCCCCAUCUUGGGGCCUCCUAUUGGUGGCGCCUACUUAUCUGUCAGGCCCUGUGCCCGGCGCCUCACUUUCAUACAUUAUCUCAUUUCGUCUUCACCUCCCUCCUGAAGCAGGCCACGUGGGUGAAACUUCUGCACAGGGAAGCUGCUCUGGGGCCCUGAAAUGAAGCCGACGUUAGAAUCAGAGAAGACGGACAAGUCCUGAUUUGGGGGCUACCUCGCUGUGACUCUAGCCUUGGUCCUUGUCCUCCCUGAACCUGUAUCCAGGCCCGGAAGGUGGGAAUGUUACCCAUCUUGGAGGGUAGCAGGAUUGCAGGAGUGAUGUGAGAGGGGCUGCACGUCAGCUCUCUCUCCUGCACCCCCGAAGGCCAAGGGCACCCACCCCAGGGACUCUCCUCCCCCUCACUGGCCUGCCGCAGAGGCAGCGAGCUCUCUGGAAUUCCUCCAUCCUACAGGCUGGUGCUAUGGGCUGGACCUUGGCUGCUGCCAUGAGAAAUGAGCUGAACUUGUCCAGACAGGGGAUCCAGGCCAGCACGGCCCUUCCCAGCCUGCCCACUCCUGCCCUGCCCCCCGUGAAGGCCGCGCCUCCUCCAGCUGGCCAUGGUGGAGAGGGCUGCCAGGCCCACUGAGACACCAUCCACACCCCCAGGCAACCUGGCUGGCUCAGCUGGGGAAAGUGUGGGUGGUCAGAGCCUCCAGAGCUCCUUCACUGAAUGAUGCAGAGACCACCCAGAGAGCGUGGCCACGUGGCCAGGGUCACACACGGAGCUAGCGCUGCAGCCCUCUCAUCUGCCGAGCCAAGGAAAGAACACUGUGGUCUGGGGAUACCUGGACCUCAAAAUGAUCUUUUCCUCCUGCUCCAUGAAGGAAGGACUAGUUGGGGGCUGCCCCCAACUUCAGAUACUUUUCCAACCAGUUUGUGCUGGAGCCCGCCUCCCCACUUACCCACUCAUCCAGUCCCACCUCCCUGCCUUUGCUUAUGCUGUUCCACCUGCCCCAGCCAGCCACCUCCCCAAACACAGUACACUCUGUCACUUUUGCCUUCCCACCUGGUGUUUGUCGCCCUCUGAACACAUGCCCCAGCUCGCCUUUGGGGAACACUCCUCCUCUCAUAGGAGGGCUGGGUGGGGUCCAGACCCUGUCAUUCAUUAGCCCUCCAGGGCUCAGGCAUGAGUCUUUUUUAUUUUUUUAAACGUUUGGGGGUGUGUGUGUGUGACAAUUAUAGACUCAGAGGAAGCUAAGAGUUUUUUAAAAGCUUAGAAAAUAUUUGAGACUUGAAGAAAAAAAUGUGUUUGCCCCAAAAUUCUAAGACUGAAGAGCUGAAAUUAAUGAACGUUUACUGUGCUCAAACCUAACACUCGGUAGUCAUAAAAAUUGUAUUACCUUGAAAAC